RNAcentral lists this ribosomal RNA (497 nucleotides) under uncultured bacterium. RNAcentral describes it as "partial 16S ribosomal RNA". It matches the Rfam family "Bacterial small subunit ribosomal RNA", at positions 28 to 507 of the family's 1533-position model. The record is from RNAcentral.
GAUGAACGCUGGCGGCGUGCCUAAUACAUGCAAGUCGAGCGAACAGACGAGGAGCUUGCUCCUCUGACGUUAGCGGCGGACGGGUGAGUAACACGUGGAUAACCUACCUAUAAGACUGGGAUAACUUCGGGAAACCGGAGCUAAUACCGGAUAAUAUAUUGAACCGCAUGGUUCAAUAGUGAAAGACGGUUUUGCUGUCACUUAUAGAUGGAUCCGCGCCGCAUUAGCUAGUUGGUAAGGUAACGGCUUACCAAGGCGACGAUGCGUAGCCGACCUGAGAGGGUGAUCGGCCACACUGGAACUGAGACACGGUCCAGACUCCUACGGGAGGCAGCAGUAGGGAAUCUUCCGCAAUGGGCGAAAGCCUGACGGAGCAACGCCGCGUGAGUGAUGAAGGUCUUCGGAUCGUAAAACUCUGUUAUUAGGUAAGAACAAAUGUGUAAGUAACUAUGCACGUCUUGACGGUACCUAAUCAGAAAGCCACGGCUAACUACGUG